AGUGAACGCUGGCGGUAGACCUAACACAUGCGAGUCGAACGGCAGCACAGUAAGAGCUUGCUCUUACGGGUGGCGAGUGGCGGACGGGUGAGGAAUACAUCGGAAUCUACUUUUUCGUGGGGGAUAACGUAGAGAAACUUACGCUAAUACCGCAUACGACCUACGGGUGAAAGCAGGGGAUCUUCGGACCUUGCGCGAUUGAAUGAGCCGAUGUCGGAUUAGCUAGUUGGCGGGGUAAAGGCCCACCAAGGCGACGAUCCGUAGCUGGUCUGAGAGGAUGAUCAGCCACACUGGAACUGAGACACGGUCCAGACUCCUACGGGAGGCAGCAGUGGGGAAUAUUGGACAAUGGGCGCAAGCCUGAUCCAGCCAUACCGCGUGGGUGAAGAAGGCCUUCGGGUUGUAAAGCCCUUUUGUUGGGAAAGAAAAGCAGCAGGUUAAUACCCCGCUGUUCUGACGGUACCCAAAGAAUAAGCACCGGCUAACUUCGUG
Molecule: ribosomal RNA, 492 nt
Filed under: uncultured bacterium
Lineage: Bacteria
Description: partial 16S ribosomal RNA
Rfam family: Bacterial small subunit ribosomal RNA
Source: RNAcentral